RNA transcript from Scatophagus argus, 4635 nucleotides. RefSeq lists it as uncharacterized. The transcript is spliced from 8 exons. Lineage: Eukaryota; Metazoa; Chordata; Actinopteri; Scatophagidae. The record is from RefSeq and is a predicted model, not a curated record.
GUUAGGGGGUUAGGUCUUGGGGGUAUUGGAUUUUAAUUUUUUCCAGGUUUCUGGAUUUCGGUGCACUGGCGCAGGGGUCCGGGUGAUGCUGCCCACACUACAUUUCUGUUACUUCUGUUCCUCCUGUGCAUGAUCCCUUUGACCAUGGCUGCUGUCUGUGAUGGAUUAGAUCUACAAUAAUCUCUACCAGUAGAGAGAAGUCCCGCCCCCCAGGCCGAAUAAAAUUAAUAAAAUUCCCCGAUAGAUGCUUCAAUGGACAUUAAAGCCUAAGGGGAUCCGAGUCUUCAGCCUGUCAAUCCACCAUCCCUCUCUCCACCUUCGCUGGCCUCCCGUCCACGUCGCGCAGGCUUCAAGGCACAUAACGGCAAGUUGGUGUCCGGGGUGGGAGCGGAAGUGAUGGACUAGUGGAGUUUGUAGUUUUUUCCCCUGCCUGAUGUUAUGGAAGUGUUGUGUUAGUCUAGUCUGUAUUGUAUUUCCUGUUUCCCCUAUAUACAGUAGAUUACACUCCUGGCACUGUAUACAAUAAACUGCGUUUUUUUCUUUGAGGGAGAAAUUUCCAGUCACUGAGAUACCUCUGCCGCUAUGCGGGUUAUAUAAGAAUUUAACGUCUUUAAACGAGCACUGAUAUUGUGAUCUAUAUUUAGUUUUUUUCUUUUCGAAGGACGCUUUAACGAGUGCGUCCUUUAAAUUUUUGUUUCUUCUCAGUGCUGAAAUUAUUCUGCAGUCUUUUAGAGUCGGAUGGUCUAUCAUGAUGCGCCGGAAGUUAUUCUUCAAUAUCUGAUGUAGCGCCGUAUAUUGAUUGGAGAAAGUGGUGAUUAGAGGUAUUACUACACCUGUGUCCUUAUUAAUUAUCAGCGUCUGCCGAUUGCCAUUUUGUAGUGGAAUACCCGUUUGGACUGCAUUUGUCCUAGGAUGGAGGGAUGCCAGCGUAUUACUUUUAAUGCUCCGGAGAAACCGUUUGGAAUAUCCCCGUCGUCUCAAGCUAGCAAACAACACAGAGAUCGCCUUAUCCCGGUCUGUCGGAUAUGAGGAUAUACGGUGAAAUCUAAUGAUUUGGGAUUUAAUUAUUCCCUUAAAGGUAUGCUUAGGGUGAAAGCUAGCUUUAUGUAAUAACGCAUGGGUAUCAGUCGGCUUAAAAUACACCUUGGCUCCUAUAAUAUCGUCUAAAAAGCGGAGAUAAAAGGAGGGUUUAAAAGGACAUUUUUCCAGUGCUUCCCUCUCCCAUUCGCUCAUAUACAGGUUGGCAUAGGAGGGGGCAUAUCUGUGUCCCAUUGCCGUUCCCUGGACCUGUAUAUAGUGCUGCUUCCCAAAGGUAAAGUCAUUACAAGUCAGACAGAUUUCCAAUAAUUUUAAUAUCUCUUCAUCUGGUCUGCUUUUAUCCGGAUACCUGUUAAAAAUAGUAUGGAUUGUCUGUAAUCCCGUACGAGUGUCUAUAUUUGUGUAUAAACUAUCUAUGUCUAUAGUAAAUAAUAGAGCCUCACUCGGUAAAAUUAGCGGUUGAAUUUUUUCAAUGAAAUGAUAUGUAUCUUUUAGAUAACUAGGAUGUCUGAUAGAGAGGGGGCCCAAAAAUGAAUCAAUAUAUUGAGAAAUAUUAUAUGUUGCACUAUUACAAUCAGAGACAAUUGGCCUACCCGGAGGAAUCACAUGUGGGACCGUCCACGUAUGUGGUUCUUUGUGGAUUUUUGGGAGGAGAUAAAAGCGGCGUUCACGGGGAUUGUCAGAGCCAAAAAGAAAAUCUCGCUGUUUAGCGGUAAUGUAUUUUUUCCGGUAUAAGUUCUGAAUUAUUGUCCUAAUUUCGUUUUGCGUUGUUUGUUGGAGGCUAGCUUGUAUAGGUUUGUAAUAAUUUUCAUUUGACAAUUGUCUAUUGGCCUCCAACGCAUAUUGCUGUUUGUCCAUAAUGACGAUUUUAGACCCCUUAUCUGCCGGUUUUAUAAUAAUAUGGGGGUUGUUCUGGAGAGACCUGAUGGUUUUCUCUUCUCCUUGGUGAGAUGAAAUAUUAUUUGUUUGUUUAAUUAAUGGAAUAUAACGGUUGAGACUACGAACGUCUUGUUGAAUUAACCUUUUUACCCUAUCAUCCAAGUAGUCCCACGCGGGUUCCCAGUUGGAGGGGGAGGUAAAUGGCGUUUUGUCCGUUUUGGCAUUUUGAAAAUAGUCCAGUAAUUUUAUUUUUCUGUGAUACUGGUAUACGUCUCUGCGCAGUUCCUCCGUGUCAAAAAAACGUGGAGUUGGAAUAAAAGUAAGACCCCUCUCUAGCAGAUUAAUCUGAGCUUGAUCGGGCUGAAAUAAUGUAGAUAAAUUUAAGAUGUUUGAUUCUGACUCCCAGAUGAGCUCUGUCGCAGCGGCAGCAGUCCGAUUGUGCGUAACUGGCCGUCGGCGGGCCGGGUGCGUCACAGCGGUAGGGAGAAAUACAGAAGAAACGAGCGAUUCCCCGGAAGAGCAGGAAAAGUUGUUCUCUCUUCCGAGUGCCUGCAUCGGCUCAGGCCCACAGACAGCACCACCACCUUCGUGUGUGGAUGAGGAGGGGUCUUUUCCAACAGUUUCCAAAGGUGUCGCAUGCCGCCGUACCGAGGGAUUCUGGAGACCCCGCUCACCAGAGGCAAGUAUAGUUUUUGUGGUGGGGGGAUCAGAGAGGUUGUUUGUGCUUAGGUCGUCUGCAUUAUUAUGCUUAUCAGACCCGCAUCUCAUCAUAUGUUUCCUCCCCACCUCUAUUUGGGUAGGUAACGUCACCACUGCCUCUGGCUGGGGGUCCAGGUCCAGUCCCGAUGUCAUUGUGGGUCCUGUGGAGGAAACAGGGUUUCCCUUUUCUGUAGGGGCUGACGAAGUCCUCCUCUGAGGCUGAUUGAUUUGAGUUAGUGUGUUUUUCUGACAGAACAAUCUCUCCCUCCCGAUUACUGGUUGGACUAAAGGGAGGGGGGCCAUAUGGAGGACAGGGGAGAGGGGAAGUGAGCGCAGUGAGAGGAAGGGAAGCAGGAGUCACCCUCAAAAGAUGAGGGUGGGUCUGAGAUGCUCCCUGGACUGUCUCUGCCGUUCUAAGUUUUUUGAGGAGGACAAUAGGAGACAGUGGUAUUAAAGGGGGCUUCCUGGUCUCCUGGUCCGGGGGGAUUUUUAACAUACGCUCUGACACCUUCGGCGUAGAUUGUUCCUGGGGGGGAGGGAGGCUCACUAGGUUCUCCUCACAACCAUUUAGGACAUGAUCCACUAGGGCGGGUUUUGGUCCUAGAUAGAGGGAUUUCUGAUAGGUAGUCGGCCUAUUAGGUAUAGGGAGGGGUGGAAAUUCCCGGAUGUCCCCCAGAUUCAGUCCCCUGGGCUCCGCAUCAUUUGCCGGUGACUGUAUAGAUGAUGGAGGUAAAGUAUUACAGGUAAGUGGUACAUUACUGUGGGACUGUAGUAGAGCCUGUGCUUUUUCUACCGUCUGAGGGCUCAAUUUAGUUUUGUAGCGUUUUUGGGCCCACUUUACUGCAACCUGGAAUGCUACCUCAUUAAAAGAGUUGCUGUUGCUCAUAAGAAUUAUUCUGUUGUAAUGUUCUUGCAGGAUGAGGAGGUUCUUAGUCAUCCAGGCCUCAGUAUUGUUAGCUAUGGCCUGUUUAACUACAUCUGAAGUGUUCUCAUUCCUAUUGGGUCCUCUGCUUACCACUGGAUGGCUGGAACGGACCGCCUUGGACCUGUGGGCAAAAGCCAUUGUUAGAGUGAGGCCUACCUGAGCCUGGGCCCGAUGGCUCCCCAGGCCAAAGUCCUGUGGCAGCAGAUCUCAGGAGCAGUUGCUUGUAUUCCACACUCUCCAGGAUCUGUAAAAGCAGAGUCUGCAAGCCGGUAGGUGGAGAGCAGGUUAAAUUCUUAGCAACAGUUCAAGUUGUUUGCUUGUCUUCCUGUAGUCGAUGUUAGUGCUGCAAUCCAGGAGGUGGUGAUAGAAAAAGUUUGUUGUAAGAGGUGGCUCACUCUGAACUGUUAAAAAAGUAAUUUUAUUUAAUUAAGAAGUUAAAAAAAUUAUUAUAAAACCCACUGCAGAAUACCUGCCAGUGGAAUAAUAAAACCCAGUAAAAUCUGGUUAAAAAGAGGUCCUUGGUUGGGUCCUAUGCAGCCAAUUUCCCUAACGUUUCGCAGUGUCAACUGCUUCUUCAGAGGGAUCUUCAGUAGUGAGAGGCCCAGCCAUUUUGAAGAGUUGUGGGAGGGAAAAGUUCAUCCCUCCCACAAGCUUCAAUGGCUUUCCUGAUUGGUCAGCUUUGGGAUGUACCUGACCGGCCUUCUUAAAGGAGCAAAGACCACUAAGGUAAGUAAAACUAAUAGAGAAUAACACUAAAAAAGCAGCCAGAAGGACCGCCGAAAGAAUGCUGUGCUGUGUGAUAGUCAUCCUCUCUCUAUCUUUGUUUGUUGCUAUUCUAGUAUAUAUGUAGGGGGAGGAACAUUCACCCGGAGUGGGUGAGCUUCAUCAACUAUUGAGAAUAGUAAAUACUGAGUCCCAUAACCCUGGGAUCUAAAGGAGCUGUUUGAUAGGGGAAGACAGCUGACUGGUACUCGAUGGUGUCCCCUGGUGGUAAGUAGGUGUCUUCAUAAGCAAGCCCUCAAAUCUGUUAAGAUAAAAAGGAUAAAAUAGGUGGUGAUGCUGUCUGCGGGAUCCAACGCGGAAGAGAGGCCAGA